GGUCUAGUGGUUAGGAUUCGGCGCU
Molecule: non-coding RNA, 25 nt
Filed under: Xenopus tropicalis (tropical clawed frog)
Lineage: Eukaryota; Metazoa; Chordata; Amphibia; Anura; Pipidae
Also listed under: 4 other names
Source: RNAcentral